UACGGUCAAAUCACGCUGAAACACCGGUUCUCGUACAAUCACCGAAGUUAAACAACGUAGAGCCAGGUCAGUACUUAGAUGGGGACCGCUUGGGAACACCUGGUACUGUAAG
RNAcentral lists this ribosomal RNA (112 nucleotides) under Acanthosepion pharaonis. Lineage: Eukaryota; Metazoa; Mollusca; Cephalopoda; Sepiida; Sepiidae. The record is from RNAcentral.